GGGCGUGUGCCGGAGUGGUCAAACGGGCCUGACUGUAAAUCAGGUGGCUUCGCCUUCGGGGGUUCGAAUCCCUCCGCGCCCA
This 82-nucleotide transfer RNA is filed under the name Phycisphaerales bacterium. Its description in RNAcentral is "tRNA-Tyr". It matches the Rfam family "tRNA". From Rfam's summary of the family: Transfer RNA (tRNA) molecules are approximately 80 nucleotides in length. Their secondary structure includes four short double-helical elements and three loops (D, anti-codon, and T loops). Lineage: Bacteria; Pseudomonadati; Planctomycetota; Phycisphaerae; Phycisphaerales. The record is from RNAcentral.